CAGAGUAAAUCAAAAGGAAAAAAGAAGAAGUCCUAAUUAGAAACCCUAAUGCUCAGCUUGCCCUUGCUUUCCAAACACAACUUGACUAGUGAUAUCUACUUUGUGCUUCAUUUGAGAUCUUGUAUUGGUAUUUAUAGUUUAGUUGCACAAUGCCGCAUUGUCGAUGGAUGUGUAAUUUGAAUUUGUAGGUUUACUUUUUUAGGGAGUAUAAAAAACAAGACGAAAUAAAUUAUCGAUCGGUCCC
Molecule: long non-coding RNA, 244 nt
Filed under: Eucalyptus grandis
Lineage: Eukaryota; Viridiplantae; Streptophyta; Magnoliopsida; Myrtales; Myrtaceae
Description: long non-coding RNA (EGRA_LNC007446)
Source: RNAcentral